GGGCUAUCUGGAUGCGUCGGUUUCCGAAAGGAAUUGAAAGGGAAUCCGCCGCCGGCCCGGGGUCCGACCCCGCAAGGCGAACCGGAACUGCCCCCGCAACUGUAGGCGGCUAGGGUUUUCGCAACGCAUCCACUGUGGCGCUUGUCAUGGGAAGGACGCGACAACCCCGCGACCCGCCAGUCAGGAGACCUGCCGGCACAAAUGCAACGCG
RNAcentral lists this non-coding RNA (211 nucleotides) under Paracoccus yeei. Lineage: Bacteria; Pseudomonadati; Pseudomonadota; Alphaproteobacteria; Rhodobacterales; Paracoccaceae. The record is from RNAcentral.